GUACGGCGAGUGAAGAGGAAGAGCUCAAAGUUGGAACCUGUUUGGCCUAGCUAAACNNNNNNNNNNNNNNNAGAAGUGUUUUCCAGGCAAUCCGAGUUAAUAAGUCCUUUGGAACAGGGCAUCAUAGAGGGUGAGAAUCCCGUCUUUGAUUCGAGAUAUUUUGUCUUUUGCGAUACACUUUCAAAGAGUCAGGUUGUUUGGGAAUGCAGCCUAAAUUGGGUGGUAAAUCUCACCUAAAGCUAAAUAUUGGCGAGAAACCGAUAGCGAACAAGUACCGUGAGGGAAAGAUGAAAAGAACUUUGAAAAGAGAGUUAAACAGUAUGUGAAAUUGUUAAAAGGGAACCGUUUGGAGCCAGACUGGCUUGUCUGUAAUCAAUCUAGGUUUCGUGCCUGGAUGCACUUGCAGACUAUUUGCCUGCCAACGACAAUUUUUUUUGAGUGUAAAAACUAUUGGAAAUGUGGCCAAUAUUUAUUUAUUGGUGUUAUAGUCCUUUAGAAAAUACCUUGAAUUGGAUUGAGGAACGCAGCGAAUGCUUCUCUUUUGAGGCAAAGUCUUUUAUUGGGAUUUACGGAUCAGACUGUGGCAUUGUCACAAGACUUGAAGUUUAAACCUAUUUUUGAACUUUUAUUCGCUUAGGUUGUUGGCUUAAUG
Molecule: ribosomal RNA, 652 nt
Filed under: Rhizopus delemar
Lineage: Eukaryota; Fungi; Mucoromycota; Mucoromycetes; Mucorales; Rhizopodaceae
Description: partial large subunit ribosomal RNA
Rfam family: Eukaryotic large subunit ribosomal RNA
Source: RNAcentral